GGAUUAGAUACCCUGGUAGUCCUAGCCGUAAACGAUGUAUACUGGAUGUAGGAAGGCUCAACCCUUUCUGUAUCGGAGCUAACGCGUUAAGUAUACCGCCUGGGGAGUACGCUCGCAAGGGUGAAACUCAAAAGAAUUGACGGGGGCCCGCACAAGCAGUGGAGCAUGUGGUUUAAUUCGAUGCUACGCGAAGAACCUUACCUGGGCUCGAAAUGUAGAGGACGAUGCUAGAGAUAGCAUUUCUCGAAAGGGUCUCUAUAUAGGUGCUGCAUGGCUGUCGUCAGCUCGUGCCG
Molecule: ribosomal RNA, 293 nt
Filed under: uncultured bacterium
Lineage: Bacteria
Description: partial 16S ribosomal RNA
Rfam family: Bacterial small subunit ribosomal RNA
Source: RNAcentral